GUGCCAGCAGCCGCGGUAAGACGAACCGUGCGAACGUUGUUCGGAAUCACUGGGCUUAAAGGGCGCGUAGGCGGAUCAGCAAGUCCGGGGUGAAAUACUUCAGCUUAACUGGAGAAGUGCCUUGGAUACUGCUGGUCUCGAGGGAGGUAGGGGUCAUUGGAACUUCUGGUGGAGCGGUGAAAUGCGUUGAUAUCAGAAGGAACGCCGGUGGCGAAAGCGAAUGACUGGAUCUCUUCUGACGCUGAGGCGCGAAAGCUAGGGGAGCGAACGGGAUUAGAAACCCCCGUAGUCC
RNAcentral lists this ribosomal RNA (292 nucleotides) under uncultured bacterium. RNAcentral's name for it is "partial 16S ribosomal RNA". It matches the Rfam family "Bacterial small subunit ribosomal RNA", at positions 505 to 796 of the family's 1533-position model. The record is from RNAcentral.